AGCGAACGCUGGCGGCAGGCCUAACACAUGCAAGUCGAACGAACUCUUUGGAGUUAGUGGCGGACGGGUGAGUAACACGUGGGAACGUGCCUUUAGGUUCGGAAUAACUCAGGGAAACUUGUGCUAAUACCGAAUGUGCCCUUCGGGGGAAAGAUUUAUCGCCUUUAGAGCGGCCCGCGUCUGAUUAGCUAGUUGGUGAGGUAAAGGCUCACCAAGGCGACGAUCAGUAGCUGGUCUGAGAGGAUGAUCAGCCACAUUGGGACUGAGACACGGCCCAAACUCCUACGGGAGGCAGCAGUGGGGAAUCUUGCGCAAUGGGCGAAAGCCUGACGCAGCCAUGCCGCGUGAGUGAUGAAGGUCUUAGGAUUGUAAAAUUCUUUCACCGGGGACGAUAAUGACGGUACCCGGAGAAGAAGCCCCGGCUAACUUCGUGCCAGCCGCCGCGGUAA
This 449-nucleotide ribosomal RNA is filed under the name uncultured bacterium. Its description in RNAcentral is "partial 16S ribosomal RNA". It matches the Rfam family "Bacterial small subunit ribosomal RNA", at positions 29 to 523 of the family's 1533-position model. The record is from RNAcentral.